UCAGUGUUUUUUCUGGCAGUCGAUGUGCUC
This 30-nucleotide non-coding RNA is filed under the name Mus musculus (house mouse). Lineage: Eukaryota; Metazoa; Chordata; Mammalia; Rodentia; Muridae. The record is from RNAcentral.